GUAGAAGGAAAAAUCCUUAUGAAACAUAUGAAACCUGAAACAUAGCCAACUGUCUUCACACAAUGUUAUCUCUACCAAGUAUUGGGAAACCAUUCUUGGCAUCAGGGAAGAAUGGGAAUGACCUUCUUACUUGAACUUGGAGGUAGCAUAGGUUUUGAUUGCAGCAAUCCUUAGCCAUUCCUAUGUUUUGACUCGACAGCAACUCGCGGCAAUUACUGAGUGUGAACUGGUGGAAUAGGGCAGCAAUGGCAAUUUCUGAUCAUGAACUGGUCACAAAUUAC
Molecule: unclassified non-coding RNA, 281 nt
Filed under: Hevea brasiliensis (rubber tree)
Lineage: Eukaryota; Viridiplantae; Streptophyta; Magnoliopsida; Malpighiales; Euphorbiaceae
Source: RNAcentral